ACACAUGCAAGUCGAGGGGUAGAAAGAGCUUGCUUUUUUGAGACCGGCGCACGGGUGAGUAACGCGUAUGCAACCUACCUUAUACAGGGGAAUAGCCCGAAGAAAUUCGGAUUAAUGCUCCAUGGUUUAUCGAUAUGGCAUCGUAUUGAUAAUAAAGAUUUAUCGGUAUAAGAUGGGCAUGCGUAUCAUUAGCUAGUUGGUGUGGUAACGGCAUACCAAGGCAACGAUGAUUAGGGGUCCUGAGAGGGAGAUCCCCCACACUGGUACUGAGACACGGACCAGACUCCUACGGGAGGCAGCAGUGAGGAAUAUUGGUCAAUGGAGGCAACUCUGAACCAGCCAUGCCGCGUGCAGGAUGACGGUCCUAUGGAUUGUAAACUGCUUUUGUACAGGAAGAAACCUCCCUACGAGUAGGGACUUGACGGUACUGUAAGAAUAAGGAUCGGCUAACUCCGUGCCAGCAGCCGCGGUAAUACGGAGGAUCCGAGCGUUAUCCGGAAUUAUUGGGUUUAAAGGGUUCGUAGGCGGCUUUGUAAGUCAGUGGUGAAAUUUCCUAGCUUAACUAGGACACUGCCAUUGAUACUGCAGAGCUUGAAUAGUAUGGAAGUAACUAGAAUAUGUAGUGUAGCGGUGAAAUGCUUAGAUAUUACAUGGAAUACCAAUUGCGAAGGCAGGUUACUACGUAUUUAUUGACGCUGAUGAACGAAAGCGUGGGGAGCGAACAGGAUUAGAUACCCUGGUAGUCCACGCCGUAAACGAUGGAUACUAGCUGUUCGGUUUUCGGACUGAGUGGCUAAGCGAAAGUGAUAAGUAUCCCACCUGGGGAGUACGUUCGCAAGAAUGAAACUCAAAGGAAUUGACGGGGGCCCGCACAAGCGGUGGAGCAUGUGGUUUAAUUCGAUGAUACGCGAGGAACCUUACCAGGGCUUAAAUGUAGAUUGACAGAUUUGGAAACAGAUUUUUCUUCGGACAAUUUACAAGGUGCUGCAUGGUUGUCGUCAGCUCGUGCCGUGAGGUGUCAGGUUAAGUCCUAUAACGAGCGCAACCCCUAUUGUUAGUUACCAGCGCGUAGUGGCGGGGACUCUAGCAAGACUGCCGGUGCAAACCGUGAGGAAGGUGGGGAUGACGUCAAAUCAUCCGGGCCCUUACGUCCUGGGCUACCACUGGCUAAAUGG
Molecule: ribosomal RNA, 1175 nt
Filed under: Myroides odoratimimus
Lineage: Bacteria; Pseudomonadati; Bacteroidota; Flavobacteriia; Flavobacteriales; Flavobacteriaceae
Description: bacterial SSU rRNA
Rfam family: Bacterial small subunit ribosomal RNA
Source: RNAcentral